CCCUAUGGGGUGCAGCAGGCGCACCAUCGAGUCAAACAAGUCAAACGUGCGCCGCACGCGUCCGCUACCACUCAUGGCGUGGAUUCCCGCCAGAUAGGCACGGUCGACGGGCGAAAGCGACUCAAAUUCCGGCUUGUCGCCUGCCGACAUUGUUCUUUACCCCCGGCGCGAUUUUGGUUCUGACUGGGCUACAUUUUCAUGUACUGACGCCGGACAAUCAAGGGCAAGAUGGCCGCGAUAAAGGGUUGAUUCCGCGCCGGGGCUUUCAGUAAGAUAGGCCCUGUUCGAGGGUGACACGGGUCCGAUACGCUCUUUACAUUACUACUCAAUGCAACGCUCAGCGAGCGGGGGAGCAUCCAUGUUUUAUCCGCAAUGGGAAGUGCCGAAAAUUGGCGGGAGGGC
Molecule: ribosomal RNA, 402 nt
Filed under: uncultured prokaryote
Description: partial 16S ribosomal RNA
Source: RNAcentral